UGGCACCACCCAGCACGGCCCGCGGCUGCUCCAUCGCCACUCUGCGGAAGUCUCACUGCCUUCGGUGCCAUAGCGGGCGGCGAGAAGGGAUAAGAGCUGCAGAACGUCCCAGCCGUUUGGAGAAGGGCUGAAUGCGGCGGCACCGCUUUCUUGAAAAGUAGGAGGGCAUGGUGUCUCUGACCAUGCAUGGAGUGCCUUUGAAAAGCAGCAUACUUGGGUGAACUCUAGCAAGGCUGUUUGAGCACCUGAAAGGCCAAACCUGAGGAAGUUUAACCCCUAUGCGGUCCCUCUUAAAAAGGCACUCUGGGAAUAAAUUGGGAAAACAAAACAAAACAAAAUAAAUUGGGAAACACACUGCUGCUUAUCAGCAACUGA
Molecule: long non-coding RNA, 375 nt
Organism: Varanus komodoensis (Komodo dragon)
Lineage: Eukaryota; Metazoa; Chordata; Lepidosauria; Squamata; Varanidae
Exons: 2
Source: RefSeq, a predicted model, not a curated record